GCAAAUGUGGAUGAUAUAGCUGAGAACGUAACUGGAGAUGAUGGUAUAGUCGUCCUAGAAGGGGUUUCUGCAAGUGGGUUAAAUAUUGAAUAUGACGACCGUCUAGUGACAACAUGUGAAGCCUACGAAGUGUAUAAAGGGUUUUCUA
RNAcentral lists this small RNA (148 nucleotides) under Arabidopsis thaliana (thale cress). Its description in RNAcentral is "ATSL085900". Lineage: Eukaryota; Viridiplantae; Streptophyta; Magnoliopsida; Brassicales; Brassicaceae. The record is from RNAcentral.